GUCUCUGGGCUUUACUGACGCUGAGGAGCGAAAGCAUGGGGAGCGAACAGGAUUAGAUACCCUGGUAGUCCAUGCCGUAAACGUUGGGCACUAGGUGUGGGGGACAUUCCACGUUUUCCGCGCCGUAGCUAACGCAUUAAGUGCCCCGCCGGGGGAGUACGGCCGCAAGGCUAAAACUCAAAGGAAUUGACGGGGGCCCGCACAAGCGGCGGAGCAUGCGGAUUAAUUCGAUGCAACGCGAAAAACCUUACCAAGGCUUGACAUGUGCCAGACCGCUCCAGAGAUGGGGUUUCCCUUCGGGGCUGGUUCACAGGUGGUGCAUGGUUGUCGUCAGCUCGUGUCGUGAGAUGUUGGGUUAAGUCCCGCAACGAGCGCAACCCUCGUUCCAUGUUGCCAGCACGUAGUGGUGGGGACUCAUGGGAGACUGCCGGGGUCAACUCGGAGGAAGGUGGGGAUGACGUCAAAUCAUCAUGCCCCUUAUGUCUUGGGCUUCACGCAUGCUACAAUGGCCGGUACAAUGGGUUGCGAUACUGUGAGGUGGAGCUAAUCCCUAAAAGCCGGUCUCAGUUCAGAUUGGGGUCUGCAACUCGACCCCAUGAAGUCAGAGUCGCUAGUAAUCGCAGAUCAGCAACGCUGCGGUGAAUACGUUCCCGGGUCUUGUACACACCGCCCGUCAAGUCACGAAAGUUGGUAACACCCGAAGCCGAUGGCCUAACCACCUUGUGUGGCGGGGAGUCGUCGGAGGGUGGGACUGGCGAUAGGUACUAACUUCGUACACAGGUAA
RNAcentral lists this ribosomal RNA (784 nucleotides) under Arthrobacter sp. LL28. RNAcentral's name for it is "bacterial SSU rRNA". It matches the Rfam family "Bacterial small subunit ribosomal RNA", at positions 725 to 1499 of the family's 1533-position model. Lineage: Bacteria; Bacillati; Actinomycetota; Actinomycetes; Micrococcales; Micrococcaceae. The record is from RNAcentral.